This 253-nucleotide ribosomal RNA is filed under the name uncultured bacterium. Its description in RNAcentral is "partial 16S ribosomal RNA". It matches the Rfam family "Bacterial small subunit ribosomal RNA", at positions 524 to 776 of the family's 1533-position model. The record is from RNAcentral.
UACGUAGGGUGCAAGCGUUGUCCGGAAUUAUUGGGCGUAAAGAGCUCGUAGGCGGUCUGUCGCGUCGGAUGUGAAAAUCCAGGGCUCAACCCUGGACCUGCAUUCGAUACGGGCAGACUAGAGUUCGGUAGGGGAGACUGGAAUUCCUGGUGUAGCGGUGAAAUGCGCAGAUAUCAGGAGGAGCACCGGUGGCGAAGGCGGGUCUCUGGGCCGAAACUGACGCUGAGGAGCGAAAGCGUGGGGAGCAAACAGG